GCAUGCGCAUCGCGGCCAGCCAGGCCCGGCGCGGCCGCCGGUGGGCCGUCGCCAGCCCCCAGUGCCCACGGGGCGAUCUGGCCGCAAAGGGAGGCCCCCGCAGGGCGGCGGGAGGCAGUGCAGUUGCCGAUACUGUCCAGCAGGAGAGCUUCUUUAGAGAAGACAGUUGCCUCCUGAAAAGGUUCCAAAUGAAAGUUAAUGGUUAGGUAUUGUAAUUGGACUAAAUCAGGCAACAGUUAAAUAACACAGUAUGCAUUGUUGCAACUAGAACAAAAAUGCUGCUCCAUUGGAUUGGAAUUGUACCCUGCUAACAUACCCAUCCACCCUCAGACAGGCGAUGGCAAGCUCAGCGCAGGCACGGACACAUGACAGCACUGCAGAAAGGCAUAGUCUCCCCCCUUAAGAACCCCCUGUUGCUCUCCAGCUACACCAAGACUUGCUCAAGGAAAGCAAAUAAACCAUCAUUUGCUUAUGUCACCUGGCUAGGAGAUGAAAGCCUUGUCAUUUAUGUAGCUUCUUGGAAGGCUAUACUGCUAUAAUUCCAGCUAGAAAGAUCGGUACCUCAUAAAACUAAUGUUUUUCAGUUUUCCUGCCAUUUUUGCUUAUAGAGUCGAAGAGUCUUUCAAAGCUAAAUUACACCUAGGGUACCACAGUGCUGUUAAGUAAGUGCUAUCCUGUUCCACUUCUAUUGAUGCAAACAAAGGCAUGGAGAUUUUUUGUGAAUUUGUGAAGGUAAAUCUGGGGCUUGCUUUUCUACUCAAAUUAUAUCGAACCUGUCAUCAGUAGGAACAUUGAUUCCAAAAUCAGUGCUGUAAAGGGCUCUUACGCAGCACUUGGUAGUUAUGAAAAUGCAGUACACUGAGGAGGCUAUACCUCUCAUUAUUAGGAAUAUCCUAAGCAUAAGUAAAUACCUUCAGUAUUGUAUAACACACAAAUAUAUCCCCAUAUAUACCUACAUGUUUUGCUGAAAUUAUUUGAAUUAAGAGAUUUAGAGCAGCAGAUCAUUGCUAUAAAAUGCUUUGCAUAAUGAAACCACAUGUGCAGUAUACUUUCAGGUCUUUAAUUUGUUAGGAGCUAAAUGUUUAUUAGAAUAUGGUACAGUUAACGUUCCCUACAGUCACCUUGAAAAUGAAAUACCCCUUUCACAACACAAAGGUAACGAGUUAUAUGGCAAGAUAAAGUGGUUACCAGAAUUCAAGAAUGACAGAAUCCAAUUAAUCUAACAUGAAUUAAUGCAAGAUCAAAUUUAUUACAGUUGGAUGCAAUUUGUAAUUGAAAGUUCCAUUACAGUGCAUGUUUUUACAUGUUAUCUCCCAUCAGUAAGAGAUCUCCAAAGAGCAGAUUCUCAAUUUUGAACAGCAGCAAUGUAUUUAUUAUAUCACAGAUAACCCUUUCCUUAUGGAAAUGGUUCCUGAAGUUCCUUGCAACAAACAACAGCCCAGUUGUGCACCAGGGGCUGUGCUCUCCCUCUUUCUCACAGGGGCCAUGACUAAGGCUUAAACAGGAACCUGGGCUUCAUUUUUGGCUGCUUUGCUGGGCUACCCCUGCCUUGUUACUUGUUCAUCCCUUUUCCCAUUUUUCACUCUUCUAGGGAAUCACCCCUCUUUUUUGGGGGGGGCGGGAGAGAGGUGUGAAUCAAGCCCUCUAGACAAAUAAACCUUUCAACCUCCUAUCUUCAAAAUAAACACUUUUAUUGUAGACAGUCCAAGCUCCUUAGGUAAAGCUUUAGGUCUCAAAUCCAAAAGAUACACUGUGUCCUUUUAAUAAUUUCAUAGUGGAAACCCUUUAUUUGCCCAUUCCUGUGGUGUUAUGGAGGUUUUCAAUGAUUCUGGUUUAGGUUUCGGGAUUAGGUGAAACCAGAGCACCUUAAACCUCUUUAGAGGUUUGGGAUUAGGUCUGCAUCAGGCCUAAUAUAGCCUUUCUGUGCAAGGCUAAAUUAAAUGGCAGGAAUAUUUGUUGUACACUGAUUCACAGGUGUUUGGCAAAAUACCAGAAAACAUAAAGGAACCACUGGAAGAAUCAUGAAGGCAAAACCAUCGAAACAUGAGUAUUAGCUAAGUACUGCAGUAUCACUUGCAACUGUGGGGUCUUUCAGACUGCUUCUAAGUGAUUUUAAGCAUGGAUAUAAUUUUUAUGUGUCUCUUUUGCAUGAAUGUGAGUAAAUUGAAGAUCUGUCGUGCAAAUGGAUCAUGGAUUUUUAUUUGGGUAUCACAUUCUCGUAGUUGCUGCCUGUUUUAUAGCAAAUGUAUAUUAAAGUUCAUCAAACAGCUGA
This is a long non-coding RNA of Falco peregrinus (peregrine falcon), 2272 nucleotides long. RefSeq lists it as uncharacterized. The transcript has 2 exons. Lineage: Eukaryota; Metazoa; Chordata; Aves; Falconiformes; Falconidae. The record is from RefSeq and is a predicted model, not a curated record.